RNAcentral lists this transfer RNA (71 nucleotides) under Capra hircus (goat). It matches the Rfam family "tRNA". From Rfam's summary of the family: Transfer RNA (tRNA) molecules are approximately 80 nucleotides in length. Their secondary structure includes four short double-helical elements and three loops (D, anti-codon, and T loops). Lineage: Eukaryota; Metazoa; Chordata; Mammalia; Artiodactyla; Bovidae. The record is from Rfam by way of RNAcentral. RNAcentral also lists the same sequence under 1 other name.
UCCCUGAUGACUCAGUGGUAAAGAAUCUGCCUGCAACGCAGGAGACCCAGGUUCAAUCCCUGGGUUGGGAA